Gigantopelta aegis is the source of this 72-nucleotide small nucleolar RNA. RefSeq annotates it as small nucleolar RNA SNORD47. Lineage: Eukaryota; Metazoa; Mollusca; Gastropoda; Neomphalida; Peltospiridae. The transcript has a single exon. The record is from RefSeq and is a predicted model, not a curated record.
CGGAAGUGAUGAACAUGAUUCUGCCAAAUGAUAUAAAGUGAUAUCAAAAUUUUCCGUUCCAUUUCUGAUCCA